UACGGAGGGUGCAAGCGUUGUCCGGAAUCACUGGGCGUAAAGCGCGUGUAGGCGGCUUUGCAAGUCGGGUGUGAAAGCCCGAGGCUCAACCUCGGAACUGCACUCGAUACUGCUUGGCUCGAGUCCCGGAGAGGGUGGCGGAAUUCCCGGUGUAGGGGUGAAAUCCGUAGAUAUCGGGAGGAACACCAGUGGCGAAGGCGGCCACCUGGACGGUGACUGACGCUGAGACGCGAAAGCGUGGGGAGCAAACAGG
Molecule: ribosomal RNA, 253 nt
Filed under: uncultured bacterium
Lineage: Bacteria
Description: partial 16S ribosomal RNA
Rfam family: Bacterial small subunit ribosomal RNA
Source: RNAcentral